UGCAGUCGAGCGAUGGAUUGAGAGCUUGCUCUCAAGAAGUUAGCGGCGGACGGGUGAGUAACACGUGGGUAACCUGCCCAUAAGACUGGGAUAACUCCGGGAAACCGGGGCUAAUACCGGAUAACAUUUUGAACUGCAUGGUUCGAAAUUGAAAGGCGGCUUCGGCUGUCACUUAUGGAUGGACCCGCGUCGCAUUAGCUAGUUGGUGAGGUAACGGCUCACCAAGGCAACGAUGCGUAGCCGACCUGAGAGGGUGAUCGGCCACACUGGGACUGAGACACGGCCCAGACUCCUACGGGAGGCAGCAGUAGGGAAUCUUCCGCAAUGGACGAAAGUCUGACGGAGCAACGCCGCGUGAGUGAUGAAGGCUUUCGGGUCGUAAAACUCUGUUGUUAGGGAAGAACAAGUGCUAGUUGAAUAAGCUGGCACCUUGACGGUACCUAACCAGAAAGCCACGGCUAACUACGUGCCAGCAGCCGCGGUAAUACGUAGGUGGCAAGCGUUAUCCGGAAUUAUUGGGCGUAAAGCGCGCGCAGGUGGUUUCUUAAGUCUGAUGUGAAAGCCCACGGCUCAACCGUGGAGGGUCAUUGGAAACUGGGAGACUUGAGUGCAGAAGAGGAAAGUGGAAUUCCAUGUGUAGCGGUGAAAUGCGUAGAGAUAUGGAGGAACACCAGUGGCGAAGGCGACUUUCUGGUCUGUAACUGACACUGAGGCGCGAAAGCGUGGGG
RNAcentral lists this ribosomal RNA (728 nucleotides) under Bacillus thuringiensis. RNAcentral's name for it is "bacterial SSU rRNA". It matches the Rfam family "Bacterial small subunit ribosomal RNA", at positions 56 to 766 of the family's 1533-position model. The record is from RNAcentral. Lineage: Bacteria; Bacillati; Bacillota; Bacilli; Caryophanales; Bacillaceae.